RNAcentral lists this ribosomal RNA (427 nucleotides) under uncultured bacterium. RNAcentral's name for it is "partial 16S ribosomal RNA". It matches the Rfam family "Bacterial small subunit ribosomal RNA", at positions 355 to 774 of the family's 1533-position model. The record is from RNAcentral.
UGGGGAAUAUUGGACAAUGGGCGAAAGCCUGAUCCAGGCAUGCCGCGUGUGUGAAGAAGGUCUUCGGAUUGUAAAGCACUUUAAGUUGGGAGGAAGGGCAGUUACCUAAUACGUGAUUGUUUUGACGUUACCGACAGAAUAAGCACCGGCUAACUCUGUGCCAGCAGCCGCGGUAAUACAGAGGGUGCAAGCGUUAAUCGGAAUUACUGGGCGUAAAGCGCGCGUAGGUGGUUUGUUAAGUUGGAUGUGAAAUCCCCGGGCUCAACCUGGGAACUGCAUUCAAAACUGACUGACUAGAGUAUGGUAGAGGGUGGUGGAAUUUCCUGUGUAGCGGUGAAAUGCGUAGAUAUAGGAAGGAACACCAGUGGCGAAGGCGACCACCUGGACUAAUACUGACACUGAGGUGCGAAAGCGUGGGGAGCAAACA